This is a long non-coding RNA of Asparagus officinalis (garden asparagus), 2540 nucleotides long. RefSeq lists it as uncharacterized. The record is from RefSeq and is a predicted model, not a curated record. NCBI's taxonomy places the organism in Eukaryota, Viridiplantae, Streptophyta, Magnoliopsida, Asparagales, Asparagaceae. The transcript has 8 exons.
CACACUCUCUCUCUCUCUCCCCAAUUCAAAAUUUAAAAAGCCCCCUCUUUUCUGUGUAUAAAACCCCCUAGAAAUCCCAAUCCCACACUAUCUCUAUGUUCCAACCAAAAUAACCCUCUCUUUCUCUGAAUCCAUCCAAAAGAUCUACCCCCUCUCUCGAAACCCCCAGCUGCUCGCUCUCUCGCCUCCCCAAUCGAGCCGAGGAUGAGGAGAUGAAGCGAGGAGGAGCUCGAGGGCUCAGCGCCCGAGCAACGGAGGCAGCGGAAACGGCGAGCUCAGGCCCCUCUUCUCUCCUCGCCCGAGCAACGAAGGUCGACAAAAGAAGCUUAUAUCAAGGCUUCUCCUAACCUUCUCGGUUUGAAGGCAUUCUUCAAAGAUUGCUGCUUUUCUUCUCUUUUUGCCUUUAAACAUUACGUGUAGAUGUUAUUUUAAUUGAAGAAGUUGGGAAUAAAACAGCGAUGCUGUUGAUGAGGAAAUUGCAAUUGCCAAUUUAGUGAGGGCGAGACCACUGAAUGGGUAAACUUGGAAUAUGGCCACCCAAAUCCUUCAGAUGAAGAUUGGAUUGGAGUUUUUUCUCCUGCAAAAUUCAGUACUUCUGUCUGUGAGCCAGAGAGUGGAAGAGAUCAGCCUCCGUUACUCUGUACUUCCCCUAUCAAGAUUAAUGUUUGGUUUAGUACUCUCCCUCUUUUUGGACGGGAAUUGCAAUGAUGCAAACAAUAGGAUGCAUUUUAUGCAAUGACAAGCACAUGUUGGACUUAUGUUAGAAAUCAGAGGAAAAGUAGUUGCUAAGUUCUGCGUAAAAUAUCUGCACACUCAGGUGCUCAAGAAUGAAGCUUCUUCAGCUGGUGAUUUAGGUGUUUCUAUCCAAAAAUCUUUCUUCAGAAUGGGCGAGAUGAUGCGUGGGGCAGAGAGGAUGGAGGGAGUUUGCUGUAUUGGGAGAUAAGAUAAACAAGUUUACUGGUAUGAUAGAAGGCUUCAUAUGGUCUCCGUAGGCUGGUGAUUCCCAUGACCAACAAGAUGACUGGGCAUUUGAAGAGCUGCUUGAUCCAGUAGACAAAACAGCAGACCGAGAUUUAAGUCUUAUAGAGACGGUCCGCUUCUCUCGCGGGCUCACCGCCUCCGAAUCUUCGGUUCUAUCUUUCUAACUAAAGCUAUUUAAUUUUCUUUAUCAUUUAUUCAUAUUAAUUUUAUGCUUAGUUAGAGAUAUUGUAGAUAUACAUUGAAAGAUAGAUUGAAUGGUUUAGCAAGAUAAAUUGAAUGGUUUAGCAAUAUUAUCUAUCGAAAAUAAUAUGUUAGAAAAUAUUAAAUAUUAAUUAGUAAUUUUGCAGCUCAAAAGGUAAGAAGAAUGAGAUAAAAUCUAUUAUGAGUUGUAUCACUUAGGCCUCAUCUAAUAUUUCGCAUUGGGCCCCAAAAUUCCUAGGUACGACCAAGGUUCGUGGGUUCUUCAAAAUUUUAUUGCAUGUAUGAAUUGUUGCGCUAAAUUCUGUUCAGGGUCCUAAUAAAAAACCCCAAAUUGAGUAGUUUCCAGUUAAUGCAGAUAAUUUGAGCUGUGAGAAUUGUACUAGCUGCUGUUUUUUGUUUUGGGCAAUCUUAAAGUUAUCUAUGUUAGCCCUUUUUAUGUCAGUGAUUAAUUAUACUUGUAAGGUAAAUUUCACAAAGCCCUCACGAGUGUGAAAGUUUUUACUUAAUUCCUAAAAAGUUUGAAACUUUCACCUAACCCAAGAAGGAAAAUCCAUAAAAACCCCAUCGUAUAUUAAUUUUUUCACUUGUUCUUAUGAUGGCAUUACAUAAACAGGAUGAAUUUGGAGUUCUGGAGGAAGAAAUUGCCAAAACCAAAAUUUGGAGAUUGGGAGCUUAGACCUGUGAGCGAACACAACCAAAGAUGAGAAAGAAGUGGGAAAAGUAAAUUUUAGGGCAAAAAAUAUAAAAAGAGGACCUGAAUGUUUCUUUUUUCUUUUUCUUUUUUGUUGGUUGAAAUGAUUAAGGGUGUCUUGUCUUUUGACAACAUCUGAUUUGCACGUGAUGCAUCAGAACUAAUGUCUCAUUUGGUACACAUGAAUGAGUGGGAAUGGAAUGCUCUUUCCCACUUCUUAUUCAUGCGUACCAAACACAACACAUUUUUAAAAGCUAGAAUGCUCAUUCCCACUUCUCAUUCAUUCCCGCUUUAUGUGUGAGACUGAGCAUUCCCAAUGAGAUGGUAGACAAUGGGUGUUCCCACUUAAGUGAGAACAAAAAAUUUGAAAUAAUGCAUUAAUUGCUUAUUAAUUGUCGAUACCAAAAAUAAAAAUGAUUUUCAUCCUCACUUCAUUCUCUAAUCGCUCGCAAAUGUAAGAAUGAGAAUGAUACGUAAAUUUUUCCUUGAAGAAUGUCAUCUGAACAUAAAUAUGAUUCAUCAUUGAUAUGUUGGUGGAGAAAGGAGAACAAUUCUUAGGUGUUUUGCUAUUUUUUUUGGCUGACCCCAAGACUUGGAACCUUCGUUUCUUUUUUUAUUAUUAAUUUGGUAUUGAUUAGUGUUAAAUGGUUGGUACGCUUGCUUGAGC